UUUGUCAAAAGAUGAAGCAUCGUCAAGUAAGAGGGAUGGCAGUAGCGUUGGGAAGAAGAAUGAGAGCGAAAUAAAUGCAAUAAUCAGUGGAAGGCAGAGAAGGCGUCAGGUCAGGAAGAGUCAACCACCCCGUCAACAUCAUCACCAAGUAUCUUAAGUUAUCCUUGUAUUCUCAAAUAAUCAAUCAAUACCAAUUCAACAACAACAA
This 208-nucleotide long non-coding RNA is filed under the name Lathyrus oleraceus (garden pea). RNAcentral's name for it is "Pisum sativum (pea) long non-coding RNA (PSAT_LNC018146)". The record is from RNAcentral. Lineage: Eukaryota; Viridiplantae; Streptophyta; Magnoliopsida; Fabales; Fabaceae.